CCCAGUUUCCACUAAGAGAACACAUCAACACUAAUCUGGGUACCUUUGAUAACCAGAGGCCAAGUAUUUAUCUGUUCUCCAAGGAAUACUUAAUUAUUUUGUGUCAUGGGCCCUCUUUGGUGCGGCCUAUGGACCCCUUCUUCGAAUAAUGUUUUUAGAUGCAUAAAAUAUAUGGUAUUAGGGAAAGGUACCAAUUCUACUAGUAGUUAUCUGAGUUUUUUUGUUUCUUUUUUUUGAAACAAGUUCAAUUACAACAAGAACCCCUUGUCUGCACAGCCCUGGUCCUUCCUCAGCUGUGCAGUGCUUUAAAGCAUAAAGUCCUGGUCUAGAGCAAAUGAACCCAUCCAGACCUCUAGAAGGGAUAAGCCAGUCUAAUGUGGUAGUCUCUUAGCAGAGGCGCGAAGCUUGACACUCCGCGCAUGCUUGUUGCAGACCAAAUGGAAGCAGGUGCGACAGAGAUCUUAAAAAGGGGUAGGGGUGGAGUGGAAGAUAAAGAGAAACAAGCCAAGUCUUGCGCACGCCUGCGCAUACCGGUUCUUCUCCCCCGCCCCCCCCCCGUGGAGGGACACGGCGCCUGACGCAUGACGUACGGCUGUUGUGCGCGCCCUUACGCAUGAGAAGUGUUAAGUUCUCCCUUUUGGAGUAGGUUGGGAACGGGGGCGGGGAGGUUGGGGGAGACGAGUUUUGUUUUUUUAAGUGGGACGUGUAGGGGGAAAAGGAAGAAAAGCGGGGCGAAAAGGAAUGUCCUACGGUGGCCGCGGAGGAACGACUACUACGGUUCCCGCACUGGGACAAACGCUUCCCACGGACGGCCUAAGGCUCCCCUUCCCCAGCUGGGCCGACCCUGGUUGGGGCCCAUGAUGGGCAUGCACGGGAGGGGGCCCCCGGCGGCCUCUCCCCGGCCCUGGGGCUGACCCUGUCGGUGACCUUCCGACCUUCCUCCGAGGGCCCGACACCAUGCGGCCUCCUCCCCCCUCGUUCUGCCGCUCCGGCCUCGAGGGACAACAGGGGCCCCAGCUUCGCCGGCCCCCGGUCCUGGCCUCCACCCCGCCGGCCCCCGGCCACAGGCCUCGGGACUGCCACCCCACCGCGGAGGAGGCCGCGCACGGCAUGUGCCUCCCUGGAAGUUCAACAGAGAGUUCACAGGCCUAGGCUCUUCACUUCUGUUCCUUGCCCAUGGAUGAUGCUUAUUAUGCACACAGUCUGUCCUCCUCUAGAACUC
RNAcentral lists this long non-coding RNA (1222 nucleotides) under Monodelphis domestica (gray short-tailed opossum). RNAcentral's name for it is "lncRNA (ENSMODG00000051555.1)". The record is from RNAcentral. Lineage: Eukaryota; Metazoa; Chordata; Mammalia; Didelphimorphia; Didelphidae.